RNAcentral lists this non-coding RNA (81 nucleotides) under Modestobacter caceresii. Lineage: Bacteria; Bacillati; Actinomycetota; Actinomycetes; Geodermatophilales; Geodermatophilaceae. The record is from RNAcentral. RNAcentral also lists the same sequence under 1 other name.
GAGGAAGCCGGUGCGAACCCGGCGCGGUCCCGCCACUGUGAGCCCCGGCGUCGUCGAGAUGCGGGGGCGAGCCAGACACUC